Long non-coding RNA from Musa acuminata AAA Group (dessert banana), 481 nucleotides. RefSeq lists it as uncharacterized. The transcript is spliced from 2 exons. The record is from RefSeq and is a predicted model, not a curated record. NCBI's taxonomy places the organism in Eukaryota, Viridiplantae, Streptophyta, Magnoliopsida, Zingiberales, Musaceae.
ACAUCGACCACCAUAAACACACUUCUCUGUUUCCAUUUCACGAUGCAGUUGCUACCACAAGGCCUUUUCCUAGUCCUCCCUCUCUCUCUUCCCUCGACUCCCUAUUGCCCUCGCCGCCCUUCCCUCAAAUCUCUUCCCUCUCAUCGGCUUGCAGUUUCGAAUCGCGGCACAAACGUGAAGCCAAGAGCCAUCGGAUGCUGCCACUUCUACACAGCGAGGUGCACAUGUCGGCUACAGCUUAUGGAGAAAGGGAAAGGGGAUUCUACAUCACUCAUGGAGUCUAAUUUUGUCACUUUACUCUCAAUAGCUGAAUCUAGAAUCAACGUGUUAGAUAUAGUUAUAGUGAUAGAAACUCAACAAUUUGUAGGUUUUUUGAUUGAGAAUGGUUGACAUGAUAUUGUUCAUCCAUUCCUUGUUAAUGAACAAUCAAUCAUGGUUGGAAGUAGGGUAAUAAAGACAAGAAUAUUAUCAUUCUGGUGUA